RNAcentral lists this ribosomal RNA (253 nucleotides) under uncultured bacterium. RNAcentral describes it as "partial 16S ribosomal RNA". It matches the Rfam family "Bacterial small subunit ribosomal RNA", at positions 524 to 776 of the family's 1533-position model. The record is from RNAcentral.
UACGUAGGGGGCAAGCGUUAUCCGGAUUUACUGGGUGUAAAGGGAGCGUAGGCGGCAUGGCAAGUCAGAUGUGAAAGCCCGGGGCUCAACCCCGGGACUGCAUUUGAAACUGUCAGGCUGGAGUGCAGGAGAGGUAAGCGGAAUUCCUAGUGUAGCGGUGAAAUGCGUAGAUAUUAGGAGGAACACCAGUGGCGAAGGCGGCUUACUGGACUGUAACUGACGUUGAGGCUCGAAAGCGUGGGGAGCAAACAGG